Long non-coding RNA from Seriola aureovittata, 464 nucleotides. RefSeq lists it as uncharacterized. Lineage: Eukaryota; Metazoa; Chordata; Actinopteri; Carangiformes; Carangidae. The record is from RefSeq and is a predicted model, not a curated record. The transcript is spliced from 3 exons.
UAUUGCUUAAGAAGGCUAUUUAACAACACAUUUGUAUCGGCGAAAAACAAAAAACAAAAAAUAGUGCACAGUGUAGAGCGGAGGAGUCGUGAAUUGCCUAACCAAUCACAAUGCACGCGCCCUACUCUGAACCGACGCAGGAGUUCAACACCGCUAAUUAGCAAGAAUUUAAUGUUGCUAAAUAUUAUUUAAUAAAAAAAUAAAUAUUUUUUAACUCCGUUGUCGUAUACCGUCGAAGAAGAGCCUCUUUAUCCAGACAGACGACCUGGACUCGGCACUUUGAGGACAUGACAUGUAUGAAAAUAUCGGACAGGGGAUGGAUGGCAACCCAAAGAGGCCCAAAUUUAUUGGGAUGAAGGAUUCUGGAUGCAAAGCUGCUGAUGGACACAUUUUGACUGCUCCUGCCAUGAUGAGCAACCUUUUCACCUGCAUGUAAGUCACAAUUCUUCUUAACAUAAGGCAGU